This 252-nucleotide ribosomal RNA is filed under the name uncultured bacterium. Its description in RNAcentral is "partial 16S ribosomal RNA". It matches the Rfam family "Bacterial small subunit ribosomal RNA", at positions 97 to 334 of the family's 1533-position model. The record is from RNAcentral.
GGCGGACGGGUGAGUAACGCGUAGGAAUCUACCCAGUAGCGGGGGAUAGCCCGGGGAAACCCGGAUUAAUACCGCAUACGCCCCUUUUUCGUGAAGGAAGGGGGGGGAAAGGGAGCCUCUUCUUGAAAGCUCUCACUAUUGGAGGAGCCUGCGUUGGAUUAGCUAGUUGGUGGGGUAAAGGCCUACCAAGGCGACGAUCCAUAGCUGGUCUGAGAGGACGAUCAGCCACACUGGGACUGAGACACGGCCUAG